This 1449-nucleotide ribosomal RNA is filed under the name metagenome. RNAcentral describes it as "bacterial SSU rRNA". It matches the Rfam family "Bacterial small subunit ribosomal RNA". The record is from RNAcentral.
AGAGUUUGACCCUGGCUCAGAGCGAACGCUGGCGGCAGGCUUAACACAUGCAAGUCGAGCGGGCAUAGCAAUAUGUCAGCGGCAGACGGGUGAGUAACGCGUGGGAACAUACCUUUUGGUUCGGAACAACACAGGGAAACUUGUGCUAAUACCGGAUAAGCCCUUACGGGGAAAGAUUUAUCGCCGAAAGAUUGGCCCGCGUCUGAUUAGCUAGUUGGUGAGGUAACGGCUCACCAAGGCGACGAUCAGUAGCUGGUCUGAGAGGAUGAUCAGCCACAUUGGGACUGAGACACGGCCCAAACUCCUACGGGAGGCAGCAGUGGGGAAUAUUGGACAAUGGGCGCAAGCCUGAUCCAGCCAUGCCGCGUGAGUGAUGAAGGCCCUAGGGUUGUAAAGCUCUUUUGUGCGGGAAGAUAAUGACGGUACCGCAAGAAUAAGCCCCGGCUAACUUCGUGCCAGCAGCCGCGGUAAUACGAAGGGGGCUAGCGUUGCUCGGAAUCACUGGGCGUAAAGGGUGCGUAGGCGGGUCUUUAAGUCAGGGGUGAAAUCCUGGAGCUCAACUCCAGAACUGCCUUUGAUACUGAGGAUCUUGAGUUCGGGAGAGGUGAGUGGAACUGCGAGUGUAGAGGUGAAAUUCGUAGAUAUUCGCAAGAACACCAGUGGCGAAGGCGGCUCACUGGCCCGAUACUGACGCUGAGGCACGAAAGCGUGGGGAGCAAACAGGAUUAGAUACCCUGGUAGUCCACGCCGUGAACGAUGAAUGCCAGCCGUUAGUGGGUUUACUCACUAGUGGCGCAGCUAACGCUUUAAGCAUUCCGCCUGGGGAGUACGGUCGCAAGAUUAAAACUCAAAGGAAUUGACGGGGGCCCGCACAAGCGGUGGAGCAUGUGGUUUAAUUCGACGCAACGCGCAGAACCUUACCAGCCCUUGACAUCCCGGUCGCGGACUCCAGAGAUGGAGUCCUUCGGUUCGGCUGGACCGGAGACAGGUGCUGCAUGGCCGUCGUCAGCUCGUGUCGUGAGAUGUUGGGUUAAGUCCCGCAACGAGCGCAACCCCCGUCCUUAGUUGCUACCAUUUAGUUGAGCACUCUAAGGAGACUGCCGGUGAUAAGCCGCGAGGAAGGUGGGGAUGACGUCAAGUCCUCAUGGCCCUUACGGGCUGGGCUACACACGUGCUACAAUGGCGGUGACAAUGGGACGCUAAGGGGCAACCCUUCGCAAAUCUCAAAAAGCCGUCUCAGUUCGGAUUGGGCUCUGCAACUCGAGCCCAUAAAGUUGGAAUCGCUAGUAAUCGUGGAUCAGCAUGCCACGGUGAAUACGUUCCCGGGCCUUGUACACACCGCCCGUCACACCAUGGGAGUUGGUUUUACCUGAAGACGGUGCGCUAACCCGCAAGGGAGGCAGCCGGCCACGGUAGGGUCAGCGACUGGGGUGAAGUCGUAACAAGGUA